Non-coding RNA from Pelobates cultripes (western spadefoot toad), 831 nucleotides. NCBI's taxonomy places the organism in Eukaryota, Metazoa, Chordata, Amphibia, Anura, Pelobatidae. The record is from the annotation of a GenBank genome assembly.
CGCUUUUUCACGAAACCGUGAUUAUAAAUCUCAUCUCACAGAUUGUAAUAGUUUUAUUUAAAUUCACCUCACCUAGGCAAAAAAAAUGUGGGUUUAGUUACAUUAUAUGAUCAUAUACUGUAGAAGCCUGCCACAACGUCAAUGUACCCCAUUCUUGGAAGGUCCUCUCCUAGCAGCCUAAUGCCUUAUGGCCUGACUGGUGUGUGCAGAUCUGUGUUUAACAAUAUAUUGAAUAUCCACUGACUUCAGACGGAAGGUGUUUCCCCCUUCCCCGCCCCCCCCCCCACCAUAACUUUCUGCAAGUAAUGCCAAGCUUCAAUAGAAAGCCAGUAACCAACCUCAUGCUGAUGAGUUGCAUUAACAACAAAACUGUUGUCCAUUAUUUGGUUAACCGGCUCUGUAUCUAUUCCUGAGUUGUUUCAAAACUGUUGUGUUCAGCAAACAAACGCCAAGCAACCCAUGGAAUAAUGAGGCAGAAAGGUGAUUCUUUGUAGAACUAAUUGGCAUAUGCUCACCAGGAAUCCCUUGCAGUAGUAACAGCACUGCAAACUUGAUAUUUAUGUGGAAAAUCAAGUCUUAUGGCUUGACUGGUGUGCAGAUCUGUGUUUAACAAUGUAUUUUUUUUAUUUCUUACAAUGUCUUAAAACACCACAAGUAGAAAGUAAUAAUUGACUGUAGGAUAGCAACCCCACAUGAAUCGUUUGAUAAAUUUAAUGUUAGAUUAUUUUGCUUUCUGGCUGCAUUAUAUCACAGAUUCAAAGAAUGGCUUGCUUUAAAACCUUUGAAUGCCUGUCUCAUUAAUUUAAGAAAAUAUUAUCUUUGCAUGCCCAG